AUUGAACGCUGGCGGCAUGCCUUACACAUGCAAGUCGAACGGCAGCACGGGAGCAAUCCUGGUGGCGAGUGGCGAACGGGUGAGUAAAGUAUCGGAACGUGCCCAGUCGUGGGGGAUAACGUAGCGAAAGUUACGCUAAUACCGCAUACGAACUAUGGAUGAAAGCGGGGGAUUGCAAGACCUCGCGCGAUUGGAGCGGCCGAUAUAAGAUUAGGUAGUUGGUUGGGUAAAGGCUCACCAAGCCGACGAUCUGUAGCUGGUCUGAGAGGACGACCAGCCACACUGGGACUGAGACACGGCCCAGACUCCUACGGGAGGCAGCAGUGGGGAAUUUUGGACAAUGGGCGAAAGCCUGAUCCAGCCAUGCCGCGUGCAGGAUGAAGGCCUUCGGGUUGUAAACUGCUUUUGUACGGAACGAAAAGGUUUGGCCUAAUAAGCUGAGCUCAUGACGGUACCGUAAGAAUAAGCACCGGCUAACUACGUGCCAGCCGCCGCAGUAA
RNAcentral lists this ribosomal RNA (500 nucleotides) under uncultured bacterium. RNAcentral's name for it is "partial 16S ribosomal RNA". It matches the Rfam family "Bacterial small subunit ribosomal RNA", at positions 30 to 523 of the family's 1533-position model. The record is from RNAcentral.